GACGAACGCUGGCGGCGUGCCUAAUACAUGCAAGUCGAGCGGACGAAUCGAAAGCUUGCUUUUGAUUCGUUAGCGGCGGACGGGUGAGUAACACGUGGGCAACCUGCCCUGUAGACGGGGAUAACACCGAGAAAUCGGUGCUAAUACCGGAUAACACGAAAUGUCGCAUGACGUUUCGUUGAAAGACGGCGCACGCUGUCGCUACAGGAUGGGCCCGCGGCGCAUUAGCUAGUUGGUGAGGUAACGGCUCACCAAGGCGACGAUGCGUAGCCGACCUGAGAGGGUGAUCGGCCACACUGGGACUGAGACACGGCCCAGACUCCUACGGGAGGCAGCAGUAGGGAAUCUUCCGCAAAGGACGAAAGUCUGACGGAGCAACGCCGCGUGAGCGAAGAAGGCCUUCGGGUCGUAAAGCUCUGUUGUUAGGGAAGAACAAGUAACGCAGUAACUGGCGUUACCGUGACGGUACCUAACGAGAAAGCCACGGCUAACUACGUG
This 498-nucleotide ribosomal RNA is filed under the name uncultured bacterium. RNAcentral describes it as "partial 16S ribosomal RNA". It matches the Rfam family "Bacterial small subunit ribosomal RNA", at positions 28 to 507 of the family's 1533-position model. The record is from RNAcentral.